This 533-nucleotide long non-coding RNA is filed under the name Dermacentor andersoni. RNAcentral's name for it is "uncharacterized LOC126535578". The record is from RNAcentral. Lineage: Eukaryota; Metazoa; Arthropoda; Arachnida; Ixodida; Ixodidae.
CGAGUGCAUCGAGACUUAGAACGACAGAAAGCUGAGCUAGUUGAUAUGCAAUGGCAAGCCCUUCCAUGUGUUCCAAAGACAAAGCCUACGCCUAGCCACAGCAGCUCCCUCAUACAGACUCCGCAAGCCAAGAGGCCGUGGAGGCAAAUGCAGGCAGCCAGCACACCUCGAACAGCCACCUUGACUGCGGGUGUGUCACCCUAGUCGCCAAGGAAACAUUUGAGGGAAAGCGACAGGCAAUGUGAACAGCCACUUCUCCAUGUAAACGAUACUCUUUCUCUCGGAUGACUCCUACGCCUCGCCAUGCCAGCACUCUUGUGCACAAAGAUGCCGCGGAGGCACAUGCAGGUCAGAGGCAAGAAGCAGUGGCACUGGUGUCGACAUUCACCCAAUUUCUUUUUCUUACACUGAGGCAGCCAGCACACCUCGAACAGCCACCUUGACUGCGGGUGUGUCAGUAGAUUCCUGUUGUACAUAUGCUCAUAAUAAACUUCAGUAAACUUGAACUUGAUAAUAAACUUGAUGGCAAAUGG